CACUGUUGUCAAUUGCUGAUCACUUUGAUUUGGUACCUUCCACUGUAAUGAAUAUUGUUAAUAGUUUGCUAUACCUAACAUUACAGUUAAAAAAGAAGUACAUAUUUUGGCCAAAAACCGAAGAUGAAUAUCGUGCAAUUAAGGAUGGAUUUAAAGGAUAUCCUAAUGUGAUUGGUGCAGUCGACGGAACACAUAUUAAACUGAAGGUACCAGCAAACCAACAUGAUAGUUAUAUUGACAGACACCAAACAUAUUCCAUCAAUUUAAUGGGAAUAUGCAAUGCUGAAAACUUAUUUACAUAUGUUUUUGUUGGUUAUCCAGGGUCAGCACAUGAUUCAAGAGUGUUUUCAAAUAGUGCACUGGUGAGACAUAUUGAAACAUAUGGAAAACAUAUAUAUUUUCCCAAUGAAGAGGAUCAUUUAAUAGGAGACAGCGCUUUUCCUUUGAGAACGUGGCUUAUGACACCGUUUUCUAGGAGAAAUAAUUUAACCAGAAGGGAAAGACAUCAUAAUUGGUGUUUAAGUUCGGAUCGAGUUUGCAUUGAACAUACGUUUGGUAUUCUCAAAGGGAGAUGGGCUAGAUUACAAUACAUAAAUACAUACUCAGUCAGUAAAGCUAUUGAAAUCGCCACAGUUGCAUGUAUUUUGCACAAUUUUUGUUACCUGAAUGGGGAUGAGUGGCCGGCCGAAGAGGUAGAAAUUCGUCCAGAAGAAGAUCACGUAGAAGAAAACGACAGAGAAGCAUUUCGGCGUGGAGAACAUAAGAGAAAUGAUAUAGCAAGGUAUU
Zophobas morio is the source of this 786-nucleotide long non-coding RNA. RefSeq lists it as uncharacterized. Lineage: Eukaryota; Metazoa; Arthropoda; Insecta; Coleoptera; Tenebrionidae. The record is from RefSeq and is a predicted model, not a curated record. The transcript has 3 exons.